Molecule: ribosomal RNA, 253 nt
Filed under: uncultured bacterium
Lineage: Bacteria
Description: partial 16S ribosomal RNA
Rfam family: Bacterial small subunit ribosomal RNA
Source: RNAcentral
UACGUAGGGUGCAAGCGUUGUCCGGAAUUAUUGGGCGUAAAGAGCUCGUAGGCGGUUUGUCGCGUCGGCUGUGAAAACUCGGGGCUCAACCCCGAGCCUGCAGUCGAUACGGGCAAACUAGAGUGUGGUAGGGGAGACUGGAAUUCCUGGUGUAGCGGUGGAAUGCGUAGAGACCGGCAGGAACACCCAGGGGGAAACCAGCCGGCUGGGGACGUGCUGACGCUCAGGGGCGAAAGCGUGGGGAGCGAACAGG